AACAACCCAUGUAAUACAAUAAGGGAAAAGAUACAUAAUUGGCUUACAAUCGCCACUUCACACAAGUACAAGAAUAAAGCAUUACAUUAUCCAAAUACACUCAAGGUCCGACUACGGAACCAAAAUAAAAAGAAGACUACCCCAAAUGCUACACAGAUCCCCGAUCGACCCCAACUGGGCUCCACUACUGAUCAACUAGAACGAAACAACACAAAGGACAAGGUCUUCAUCGAGCUCCUCCUUGAGCUUGGUUACGUCACCUGCUCUGUAACAUCGGCACCUGCAAACUGGUUUUGGAAGUAUCUGUGAGUCAUGGGGACUCAGCAAUCUUACACCCUCGCGAUCAAGACUAUUUAAUCUUAUAGGUAAGGCAAGGUAAUAUGUGGAGCUGCAGCAAGUGACUAGCAUAUAUGGUGGCUAUCCUGUUCGCAAAAGAGAGCGAGAAGAGAAGGCAAAGCACGAACGAAGAACUAUGAUCAAGAAGUGAUCCUAAAACAACCUACGUCAAACAUUACUCCAACACCGUGUUCACUUCCCGGACUCCGCCGAGAAGAGACCAUCAUGGUUACACACGCGGUUGAUUUAUUUUAAUUAAGAUCAACUUCAGGUUUUCUACAACUUCAGGUUUUCUACAACUUAAGAUCAACCAGCCCUCGAGUUUCCCCGAGGUGGCGCUGCAAGGGGCUCUAGUUUGGACCAACACUCAGAGGAGCACUAGCCCGAGGGGGUUAAAAUAAUGAUGACCCUUGGGCAGGCCUACCCAAGGGAAAGAAAAGGCUAGGUGGCGAAUGGUAAAACCAAUGUUGGGCAUUGCUGGAGGAAUUUUAUUCAAGGCGAACUAUCAAGGGGUUCCCAUUAUAACCCAACCGCGUAAGGAACGCAAAAUCCGGGAACAUAACACCGAUAUGACGGAAACUAGGGCGGCAAGAGAGGAACAAAACACCAGGCAUAAGGCCGAGCCUUCCACCCUUUACCAAGUAUAUAGAUGCAUUAAUUAGAUAAGAGAUAUUGUGAUAUCCCAACAAGUAAACAUGUUCCAACAAGGAACAACAUCUCCAUGUUCCAACAAGGAACAAACUUCAAUCUUCACCUGCAACUAACAAUGCUAUAAGAGGAGCUGAGCAAAGCGGUAACAUAGCCAAACAACGGUUUGCUAGGACAAGGUGGGUUAGAGGAUUGGUUUAACAACAUGGGAGGCAUGAUAAGCAAGUGGUAGGUAUCGUAGCAUAGGCAUAGCAAUAGAGCGAGCAUCUAGCAAGCAAAGAUAGAAGUGAUUUCGAGGGUAUGGUCAUCUUGCCUGAAAUCCCGCAAGGAAGAAGAAUGAGUCCCUGAAGAAGACAAACGGACGUAGACGAACGGGUCCUCACAAAUGCGACGUUAUCGUAACUAACUCGAAGAAGCAACACCAUAAAAGAAGCAAACAACAUAGUAAACAACCAACACAUAAACAUGGCAUGAUGCACAACCAAGUAUGAUGCAUGUCCGGUUUAAAGAGGGCAUGGCAUGGCAAAGUGCACAAGGAAAACUACAAGUUAAGUGGAGCUCAAUAUGCAAUGAGUUGCAUAUUGACGAAACACCACAUUCGAGUUACUUAGUUCGAUCUCGUUUAUGUACCCAACAAUAUUAAAUGUUGUUAGCAUGGCAAGAGGGUGAAGCAAAGUAAAACUACCUAUCUAGUCAAGUUUAAAUGAGGUCGGAAGCAACGAACAACAAAUCCGGUAAAUCCCCAUAUGCAUAUAUUAGGGUUUGGUACUGAUCUGCCCUAAACACAAUUUUAGGGUUGUUAAACAUGCAAAGUAAAGCCGCCGUGUUAAACUAGGCAAAAUUCUACCCCAUAUACAUAUAAAGUUUAUUUGAAACCGAGAUACGGUUAUUUAGUUAUGAAUUAAAGCAUUUUAACAUGGCAUAGGAGUAAAUUAAAGCAAACAUCAUUUUAAGCAUUUCAAACAUGGAUGAAAGUUGCAAAAUAUUAAUAUACACACAAUUUUAAGCAAGUUUCAUAUAUAAUUUGUUUUAAACCGAUGCACGGUUUUGGAGAUAUUAAAUGCAGGAUCUAGAGGGACUGUUCUGUAAAACUGGCAGCCUCUGGAAUAAAUAGAAAAAUCACAGCACGCAUAAAAACAUAUGCGGCUGGAUCUAGGUGCUGGGCUUCCUCACCACGGGCCAAGCCCAGGUCGUUGGAGCCAGCUGGGCCGCGAGGCUCUUGCCUGGGCCUUGGUGGCUGCUGGCCUAGGCGCAGUUGACGCAGGAGGUCAACGAGGCGGGGCGGUCCAUGCGAGGCAGGGACGCGCUGGCAACCUGCUCGUAACUGAAAGUGCAGAGGCGGCAGCAGUGUUCAAGCGACAGCGGCUGGGCGCGAUGGUAUCCGGUGAUGUGGGCACAAGGAACGGAGGGAGGUGUAGCAGGAUGGGUCUUUAGGCGGCGGACGACGGCGAGUAUCCUCCGGAUCUGACGAGGGGAGCUGGUUCCUGAUGGCGGGAGCUGCAAAGGCCAUGGCGGGGGAAGAAAUUAGAGGGGAUACAGCAGUAAAGAGAGAACACGAAGGAAGGAGAGCAGCGGCAGGAGGGCUCCAUGGACGCCAUGGCUGGGCGCGGCAGUCAGCGACGCGGACGACAGACGCACGGCGGCGCUGGUGUUUGACGGCGACAAACAACAGGCGCACGCGGUGCGGAAAAUCCCACGCGGUCGAGGGCAGGUGAAAGGAGUGGGACUUGGCGCCGGCCUUGUCCUCACGUGCUUGCACGACCGAAGCAGGGGACGACGAUGGACUUGGCGGUCUCCGGUGGGGCGGCAUGGCGUUCUCGAGUGGCACAGGGAGACUCGAAGCAGAGGCGGGGCUAGCAGCUAACGGGGAUGGAUGGAACCGGUGUUCCCCGGCGACAGCGACGGCGCAUCAACAGAUCGGAGUGGCGGCGAUGUUCCUUCAUGGUCACCGACGAGGACGCGAUGUGAGGUGAGGAAAAGGGCGGCCCUGCUGCCCCGGUGCUGCAGGCGGAGGAGCUUGGACCAGCUGGGCCUUGGGCGCGAGCGUUCCCUCUCGGGGGAAGCUCCUGCGGUCAAAGGCGAAGAUGGCUGCGAGGACGAAGGACGACGCGGUGGCGGCUCGGGGCUCCGGUGGCACGCGAGCAGAGGCACCUACGGGUGCUUGAGGUGGAUGGGUGGAUCUGAAAACGAGGAAGGGAUUUUGGAUCGGGGAGGAUCCCGAUGAGGAAGAGACAGGAAGAGUGGCGGCGGCGGAGUGAUUGGAUGGAUGGAGGGGAUAGGAUCCCUAGUUUCUAGGGUUGUCCACUAUUUAUAUUGCAAUGAGAUUAGGGUAGGGGCUAUCACGUCCCUACGAUCGUAAUCGGGCGGCUAGGGAAAUAUAGGGUUGGUAGUACAAUUAACAAAACAGAGACGUUUUGUAGAUGUUUGGGGAUAAUCCGGAUCUAACGGUGACGAUUGUCCGGGUCGGGUCCGGGACAACUUUUCGGACGCGCGCGCGAGGGGGUUUGAUGCACUGAGCAGAGAGGGUUUCGGACCGUGCGAUCGCAUCGGACAACUCCGGAAGCGAGGAGGGGAAAGAGGAUGGACUAGGUGGGCUGAGAAGAGAGAGGGGGAAAGCAACCCGGCAACUGUUUCCGGAGACCGGAAAUGUACGACAUUUGACCGGCUAUACUGCCGCUAUAGUUAUCCGUUGGGCGUCAAACGGACUCCGAACGCGAUGAAACUUGGUAGGCGGCCUACCUACUCUAAAAUAAGACCGCACGCUACUCUCAUCCCAUUCCAAGAACAUUUUCCGGCCACUAAUAAAAUAAUAUUUCGGACGUGCCGCGGGCGCGUGCAAGUGAGUCUGGCCUCAGAACGGACAACGGAAGGAACUGGGAGACCCGGUCGAAUGCAAGUUUUGAAAACGUGAUGAUGCAAUGCACAUGAUGACAUGGCAAGAUGAAACACGCAAGAAAAAGACAAGGCAAUAACAACGAAACACCGGAAUACACCUGGUGCAAUGGUCUCGGGGUGUUACAACACCACCACUACGAGAGGAUCUCGUCCCGAGAUCUAGAAUGGCACCGGAGGGAAAAACGGAAGAGAAAGAGGAGAGGUAAAGCUAAGUUGCUUCUUUGACGAAUGAGUGAAACCACGAACCUUGCAAAGGUUGAGCAAAUUGAAAGAAAGAAAGCAACGGAGGUGGAAGAAGUUGAAAAACACUCCGUUGGGAAAAAAAGGAAUAAGGAAGAACAAAUUCGGACAGCACUCCGGUUGAAAAGAGAUGCAAGACUUGAUAAGGCGAAAAGACCUUGAGCAACAGGGCACAACACUCCGGUUAAAUGGAUAAUCAUGAAAAGAACAAGGUCCUGACAAGAACAAGAAGGGUAGAAGAGAGCAACAUCACGAUGCCUCGGGAAUAAAAGUGAGAAUGGAAUGGAAUGAAUGAAGUAGAAAAGAAGAUCUUAAGAGAGCACACUUACAACAAAUACUAGAACGGAGUUGUUGGAAAACCAACAACGAAAAGAAUAAGCUUGAUAUGGUCUUAUGGAAUACAUCUUAAAUAAUGAGGUGACAACCUGCCACUCACGAAAAACAAGAUUGGAUUGAUAUGAACAAGAAGACGAGAAACUUAUCUCACCGGGAGGAUAAAUGAAGACUAGGGUCGUUUAUAAGCACCAUAAUUAGCAAAAUCCUUAGGGAAAGCUUUAGGUGAAAUAUAACCCCAGAUAAAUCCAAUGACGAGAUUGAUGGAUUUUAAAUACCUCAUUCUUAACAACAUGUGUAUCAUGAUACAUGAACUCAAAUUAUCAGGAAUGACAUAAUACCACCUCGAAUGAUAUGGUUGAAAGAAUUGCAUUCCGGAUUGCAAGAUGAAGAAUACUUGAGCUCCUUAGAAAAGAAUCUCGAUGAAAACUUCAAGAAUGAAUUAAAUCCUUGAUGAACCAUCAUGUAGAACCUUCAUGACCAACUCCUGUAACAAAAGGAUAACGAAAAAGAAAGUGAAGUCGAAAACACAAGGUGAUACCUUGUAAUGAUUUAGAUGGAUCUCCGUGAUAAUUAGAGCUUGGAUCUCCGAGAAAGAAAAGAUGAUCAAAAGAAAAUCAAGAAUUUUUAUGAACCUCCGGAGUAAGGAAUUAAUCACUUGUAUGAAACAAGAAUAAGAAUUACAUUAUGCUUAUCCUUCACCAACUUAAAUUGAUGACAAGCAACGGAUUUGACAUACCACUUAUUCUCGUAGAAAGGAUUAAGAUAGAUAUUGCGCAAACUUGAGAAAGGUCUUCAACGAACCACCGGUAGGAUUGGACAGAAUGAAUGAAUUGAUAUGAUAACCAUGGAAUAGAAUCUUGAGCAAACCACCGUACGAAUUGAAAAUGAAAGUAGCAAAGGCACAAUUCACCGGGAAGAAUUGGAAAACGAAUGGAGAUACUAGAGGGAAUUUAGAUACAUGAGAACGAAGAGAUCAUGAACCGAUUAGAGGAUAUUUGAACGAUGCACUGGUAAGAUUUAGAGAAAGAGAGCUGGAAACUGAGAAUGAAUAAUUCUUCUGAAAUGAUGGGCUUCGGAGAAACAAACCGAAAUACUCCUGAAUUGCUCCAGAUGGAUGAAAAGAAUUUUCGCAAUCGAAAGCAAUUAUGAGAGGAUGGCAUCAAGCUUGAACUACGCAUCAUCGAGAGAACGGACCAAGAUUUAAGAGAAACUCUUCUUCGGACUUCAAGAUUUGAGAAUGACAGCGAGAAACACUACCAUGAAUUGUUGAGAUACUCCAGGAGAAUGAAUAAAGAAGAAGUUGCGCCAACGGUGAAAGGAAAUUGACCGAUCUUGGAGAAAUACAUAAGACUGAUGAUAAUUCAUUCUUACGUCAAACUUUGAAAUGACUUUGAGAAUAACUCCGGAAAGAAUUAGAGUUAGGUAAGAUCCUGGAAAAGACCUGUGGGUUAGGGCCCACUCAAAAGAAAACACCGUUAGAAUGAUUAAAAAGAGAGGUGCACCGGUUGAAUUAAAAGGCUUGAAUGAGAUAACAUCCUCAAAAUAGCUUGAAGGGAUUAAGAGUGGAAACACGAAUCUUCUGAGAUAUAUUUAGCACUCCAGAACAAAAGAAUAGCGAGAGGUGAACGAUUAUGAGGUGCACUGGCAUAAGAAAAGCAUUGGACAAAAAGAAAAGACAAUGCUCAAUACCAAAGUUUGAAUUGAAUCCACUGGAGAAGGAAAAUGAGUGACGAGAGAAGAACUUGAAGCUUCGUUAACAUCUUCCUGAGAAAUCACCCGAUAAGAACAUUGACGGAAAAGGAAUGGAGAGACUUCACAAGAAUAAAAGGAUACUUGAUUAAGACAUCGGAUUCCUUGAAGAGAAACAAGGGAGCGAGGGCGGGAAAAAAACAAAGGCAACUUGGAGACGGCUGAAACAAACACCGUUGAGAAGAACUGAGAAUUGAUCCUGCUACUGUUGAAAUGAUUGGAUCCACUUAAAGAGAGACACACCGGUUGAAAAGGGUUGACAUGACAAUCUCGAUUAUCAAGAAGGAUUAGUAUUCGCAUCGGAGUAUGAGAACACCAUUUGGGGAAGGUAUGGAAUCAACAUUCGACAUUGAAGCAACUCGAAUACCACAACUCAAAACAAAACAAAGGAUUGGAUUGCAAAAUAAGCCGGAACAAACAUAUGAUAGAGAUUUCGUCCGAAGUUUUCGUGGUGGGGCCUACACAGGCUCGAUCGUACAACACCAUCAUGUACAAGGCAGUGCACAUGACAUACGAAGCGUCCCCGCGUCGGCAUAGCCAAGGACUCUUUAAGACACAACGAGACCACUGUAAAACCAACCGUGGAUAGGCGGACCACUAGAUGUCGAACCCCAAUUUCAUAUCAUACAUCUGUCGGAAAGAUAUCCUAAGAGCUACUUGAAUUCCCACUUAUAAACUCCCGAAAUUUUCCGGUUAUGCAAUCAGGUGUUGGGGAUACAGGGGAAGCAUAAUAUCUCACCCAAAACUAGCAAAUCCUACAUCCAGCUGUAUCCAUCCUUCAACACAUAACCAAGAAACCUUCAGAAAUCAUUUACCUCAACCUUCAAAAAGCAUCCGUUAUACAAGUUAUGGCAAUACUCCCGAACUCCCGCCCCAGUACUAGGUGGCGUCGAGGUUAUCUCACCAACAACUGCAUAAAAGAGAUUUUCGAUAUCGGCGAAACUAAACUCAGGUAUUCCAGAACUGCAAUGAUAAAAUUGUGACGACAACACCUCGGAGCUCAACUCCCCGGGACACUGCCACAACCCCUAAAUGAUAGGAGGCACCAAGAACAAUGUUCUUGUCACAAAACCAUCGGAAUGAUUCCAAGAUACCCGCGUGAUCCUAGAAUUUUUUUAGUGAAAUUUGAGAAGAGAAGAGUCAAAACUCUACGUCAGGAUGCCUUACUAGAGCGAUGAAGGGACUGGGGAGUAAAAAGAAUUCCUAAACUCUCCGAUAUAUGUAAUCCUAAAUGACUCAAACAUUUUUCUAAACUCAACAACGCCAACGAUUCGAUCAAGCAGGGGGCUCCUAAGGUCGGGGAAGGCUCUGAUACCAACUUGUAGCGCCCUCGAUGCGGCUAUAUCUCCCACAUGUCGAAGCACGACUUAAAGGCAUAACCGCAUUGAAAGCAAUGUCGCAAGUGAGGUAAUCUUCGCAAACAACCCAUGUAAUACAAUAAGGGAAAAGAAACAUAAUUGGCUUACAAUCGCCACUUCACACAAGUACAAGAAUAAAGCAUUACAUUAUCCAAAUACACUCAAGGUCUGACUACGGAACCAAAAUAAAAAGAAGACUACCCCAAAUGCUACACAGAUCCCCGAUCGACCCCAACUGGGCUCCACUACUGAUCAACUAGAACGAAACAACACAAAGGACAAGGUCUUCAUCGAGCUCCUCCUUGAGCUUGGUUGCGUCACCUGCUCUGUAACAUCGGCACCUGUAAACUGGUUUUGGAAGUAUCUGUGAGUCACGGGGACUCAGCAAUCUUACACCCUCGUGAUCAAGACUAUUUAAGCUUAUAGGUAAGGCAAGGUAAUAUGUGGAGCUGCAGCAAGCGACUAG
RNAcentral lists this long non-coding RNA (8028 nucleotides) under Triticum aestivum (bread wheat). RNAcentral's name for it is "long non-coding RNA (TAES_LNC020341)". Lineage: Eukaryota; Viridiplantae; Streptophyta; Magnoliopsida; Poales; Poaceae. The record is from RNAcentral.